UACGAAGGGGGCUAGCGUUGUUCGGAAUUACUGGGCGUAAAGGGCGCGUAGGCGGUGUGUCAAGUCAGGCGUGAAAGCCCCGGGCUCAACCUGGGAACCGCGCUUGAGACUGGCACGCUCGAGUUCGGGAGAGGAUGGUGGAAUUCCCAGUGUAGAGGUGAAAUUCGUAGAUAUUGGGAAGAACACCGAUGGCGAAGGCAGUCAUCUGGACCGACACUGACGCUCAGGCGCGAAAGCGUGGGGAGCAAACAGG
RNAcentral lists this ribosomal RNA (253 nucleotides) under uncultured bacterium. RNAcentral describes it as "partial 16S ribosomal RNA". It matches the Rfam family "Bacterial small subunit ribosomal RNA", at positions 524 to 776 of the family's 1533-position model. The record is from RNAcentral.